GACCUAGUAGCGAAGUGGCAUCGCAUCCGCUCAGCUUCCCAAUGAAGGUUUCGAGUCUCCGCGGAAGACACCCGUUCGAUUCGGGUCUGGGUCG
Non-coding RNA from Mycena latifolia, 94 nucleotides. The record is from the annotation of a GenBank genome assembly. NCBI's taxonomy places the organism in Eukaryota, Fungi, Basidiomycota, Agaricomycetes, Agaricales, Mycenaceae.